RNAcentral lists this ribosomal RNA (534 nucleotides) under uncultured bacterium. Its description in RNAcentral is "partial 16S ribosomal RNA". It matches the Rfam family "Bacterial small subunit ribosomal RNA", at positions 355 to 881 of the family's 1533-position model. The record is from RNAcentral.
UGGGGAAUUUUGGACAAUGGGCGAAAGCCUGAUCCAGCAAUGCCGCGUGCAGGAUGAAGGCCUUCGGGUUGUAAACUGCUUUUGUACGGAACGAAAAAGCUUCUCCUAAUACGAGAGGCCCAUGACGGUACCGUAAGAAUAAGCACCGGCUAACUACGUGCCAGCAGCCGCGGUAAUACGUAGGGUGCGAGCGUUAAUCGGAAUUACUGGGCGUAAAGCGUGCGCAGGCGGUUAUGUAAGACAGAUGUGAAAUCCCCGGGCUCAACCUGGGAACUGCAUUUGUGACUGCAUGGCUAGAGUACGGUAGAGGGGGAUGGAAUUCCGCGUGUAGCAGUGAAAUGCGUAGAUAUGCGGAGGAACACCGAUGGCGAAGGCAAUCCCCUGGACCUGUACUGACGCUCAUGCACGAAAGCGUGGGGAGCAAACAGGAUUAGAUACCCUGGUAGUCCACGCCCUAAACGAUGUCAACUGGUUGUUGGGAAUUAGUUUUUCUCAGUAACGAAGCUAACGCGUGAAGUUGACCGCCUGGGGAGU